ACCUUGUCCGGGACACUCCUCAAAACAAGAACCACAGUGGUGAGGAUCGUUUUGAAUAUCCACACAUCUUCCAUUGCAGCAUACAAAUCCAUAGGCACAUGUUUGUCCACAUAACCCACAAUUGUUGGGAUCCUUCAAGGUAUCUUUGCACAAUUGCUGGAAACAACAAGUGGUGCCACCCCAUGGGUUCUUCUCGCGAUCCAAACACACACUGGGAUCAUUGGCACAUGACAGAACUCUCUGCCUUCCCUGUAAUUUAUAAAGGAAAAAAUUCAGGUGUGUUGGAGCAUCGGAUUCCUGCAUACCCAAUCGACGAACAGCAAAAACCCCAUGAGAAGUUCCAAUCAACAGAAAGAGGAUGAGAGGCCAGAAGUGAUAUGUAACAGAUAGCAUGGAUAUUUACUUUGCAUCGUUG
This 415-nucleotide unclassified non-coding RNA is filed under the name Hevea brasiliensis (rubber tree). The record is from RNAcentral. Lineage: Eukaryota; Viridiplantae; Streptophyta; Magnoliopsida; Malpighiales; Euphorbiaceae.